UGAGGAAUAUUGGUCAAUGGGCGGGAGCCUGAACCAGCCAAGUCGCGUGAGGGAAGACGGUCCUAUGGAUUGUAAACCUCUUUUGUCGGGGAGCAAAGGAGGCCACGUGUGGUCAAAAGCGAGAGUACCCGAAGAAAAAGCAUCGGCUAACUCGUGCC
RNAcentral lists this ribosomal RNA (158 nucleotides) under uncultured bacterium. RNAcentral's name for it is "partial 16S ribosomal RNA". It matches the Rfam family "Bacterial small subunit ribosomal RNA", at positions 355 to 509 of the family's 1533-position model. The record is from RNAcentral.